Molecule: ribosomal RNA, 646 nt
Filed under: uncultured bacterium
Lineage: Bacteria
Description: bacterial SSU rRNA
Rfam family: Bacterial small subunit ribosomal RNA
Source: RNAcentral
CUGGAGCUAACGCGUUAAAUCGACCGCCUGGGGAGUACGGCCGCAAGGUUAAAACUCAAAUGAAUUGACGGGGGCCCGCACAAGCGGUGGAGCAUGUGGUUUAAUUCGAUGCAACGCGAAGAACCUUACCUACUCUUGACAUCCAGCGAAUCCUUUAGAGAUAGAGGAGUGCCUUCGGGAACGCUGAGACAGGUGCUGCAUGGCUGUCGUCAGCUCGUGUUGUGAAAUGUUGGGUUAAGUCCCGCAACGAGCGCAACCCUUAUCCUUUGUUGCCAGCAUGUGAUGGUGGGAACUCAAAGGAGACUGCCGGUGAUAAACCGGAGGAAGGUGGGGAUGACGUCAAGUCAUCAUGGCCCUUACGAGUAGGGCUACACACGUGCUACAAUGGCAGAUACAAAGAGAAGCGACCUCGCGAGAGCAAGCGGAACUCAUAAAGUCUGUCGUAGUCCGGAUUGGAGUCUGCAACUCGACUCCAUGAAGUCGGAAUCGCUAGUAAUCGUAGAUCAGAAUGCUACGGUGAAUACGUUCCCGGGCCUUGUACACACCGCCCGUCACACCAUGGGAGUGGGUUGCAAAAGAAGUAGGUAGCUUAACCUUCGGGAGGGCGCUUACCACUUUGUGAUUCAUGACUGGGGUGAAGUCGUAA